This 366-nucleotide long non-coding RNA is filed under the name Gallus gallus (chicken). RNAcentral describes it as "lncRNA (ENSGALG00010022944.1)". The record is from RNAcentral. Lineage: Eukaryota; Metazoa; Chordata; Aves; Galliformes; Phasianidae.
GGAUUGCAGUGCUGACCUCCAACAAGGCCCAUAUCUCUAAAAUAUCCAGAAUGGUUAAAUUUGUCCAGUGGUAUGAGGUCUACAACGUGUUGUUAGGCUGGGGAGAGCUGAAAGGGGAGGGAGGACUUGUCUGAAUUUAUUGCUAAUCCCAAACAAAUGAAGAAGCAGAAGCCUUCACCUUCUGGAAGCUGGCACAAACAGUUUUUAGAGCAAGCAGAUUUGGAAAAAUGAAACAGUUUUGGAGCAGAAGAACACUUCCUGUGAGUUUGAGGCUGUCCUGUAAAGAUCAAAAGAAGCAUAAUGAGAAGAGCCAGAAUGUUGUUGGCUGCUGGCAGUGUUAUCUGAAUUUGGAUUGAAGUUUCUGUG